ACUGCGUUGGCUCCUGUCUGGCAGUUAGCCAGCUUUUUCUCCCUAGCAGUAGGAAAACUUGAGCCUCAUGUCCGGGACACCUUAGGGUAGGGGUCUGGUGGCCCCUCGGUGGGCCUUCUUCAGAUUUUGUCGGUGGCUUUUUAUUUUUUUAGUUCAUGUUUUAUUUUUGUUUAUAUUAGAGAAAGAUAACACCUUCCAAAGAGGGGGGAAGCUCCUGAAAGUUUGUAGCUUUCUAAAAACGUGAGUAAUUCCGGGCUUGCUUGAUUCCACCCCUUCUGGACUUCCUUAUCCUGUUUGUGGGAAACCCAGAUGACUUGCUUUCUUUACUCCUGGGUCAGAGCCUCUUUGGAGUCUGUGUAAUUGGCUUUGGGAAUCAGGAAGAAAUUGCUAGAGGCUUUUUCACCAGUGGCUGCUGAAGUAGAAGAUUCUGGGGGAAAAACCCUCUUUGGGGGGGCCCAGGUUCUGCCUGAGAGAUUUCCAAGAUGACCAAGAUACCACCCAUCAAGAAGAUGCACAGUAUACCCAACGGAGCGGCCCCCUUUUAUGCCUCAGAACAUCUAACCCAGGUGCCAGACAAGCCAAUGAGGAGCAUCAAGUAUAUGGACAAGGAAAUAAUAAACCUCAAAAAAGACCUUACACGAAGCCGCAUGUUGAUUCAGUCAGUGAAGGCAGGCCGUGGAUACUUUGACAUGCUGCGAGAGGAGAGUGCCUUGAAAAAGAAGCAACAGCAACUUCAGAAACUCGAGGAGGAAGAAAGACAUAAAUUCCAGCCAGCCAAAAGGAUGUCAGAAAUCCAUUAUGGCGAACUUCUUUUAAACACAUACGAUGAUGAGAAGGUAAAGAAGAUGGGCGCUGGAAAUGUACUCCGCCCAUUCAUCCCCGUGCACAGCUGCAUCCUCUCACCCUCGCUACCUGAGGCUCGCGUGGAGCCCCUCUUCCGCCAGCUCUGUGCCCUCCACUGGCUUCUGGAGGCCCUGACUAUCGACCGCACCCGCCACACCAUGAAGCCUGUGAUCACCUGCUGGGAUCCAAAGUUUGUUUGUUUGUUUGAACAUAUAUUGGUGGCUGUUUCUCCACUUGGACCCAAUACUCAGUGCUCAGGUCCCUGGAAUGGCACAUUUUGCUCCAGGCCAAGAAAAAUUUUAGGUGUGUCUUCAUCAGAGGGGAAGGCUCAUGCAAAAGCCCCGAGGCCACUGUUGCAGGAACCACAUUGCACACACAAGGUGGAAGGAGGAACAAGCAGGGACCCGGGUGGAAGCAAGAAUACAAUAAAGAAAAUCAAUAAGGACAAGUCCAUAGAACAGAAGUGGGAGCACUUCGUCACAGCGCCUAAGACCAAGAAACCUCCUGUACUACGUGUCACCAGCGGCAAACCAAGCUGGCGCGGUUGCACACUCAGUCUGUCUCGGACCAGUGGGGGAUCAUCCCCCCAGAGCAGCAUGGUCUCCAUGAACCCUGGCUCAGAUGAACCCCUGAGUAUGAUCACCCAGGCAACAGGCAGCAUUGAGGACAAUGAUUCCUUUUCAACCAAGCCUGACGAAGAACUUCUCCAUAUCAAUUUGCAGAAGCUCCUGGAGAUGGUUCGGGAAGAUGCCCAGAGGACAGUCACGUUGGAAAAUAGGAUGCAAAAGAAAGCAUCCAGUAUCUUGCCAAUGAUCAGACAAAACAAGAGCGAUUCCACCAAUAAAGACAUACAGACCACCCACAAAUCAAGAUCCAGCAGUACAAGUGGAGAAAGCCACACUCAAAUCAUCCAGAAGAAGUCUAAAAGCUGCACCAACCAUGAUAUCAUCCAGUGCAAGAGUGGCGUAUGCAGCACCAUGAGGGCCAAGUUUUAUGGUGUGGCCCAGGAGGCUGGCUUCUGUCUUCAAGAUAAGAUGGAAAUCCUCAUGAAGCGCCAAGAAGAGAGAGUUCUCCAGAAGUUCCAUUCUUUCAACAUUGUCUCGAAUUUUGAAAAGGAUAUAGCAAAAAUGAGACAUCAAGCCUCCAUGAUAAAAGGGGAUGCAGAAGAAAUUGCAGACCACUGGUACUUUGAUCUACUGUCCAAACUCCCUGAAGAUCUGAAGAAUUUCCGCCCUGCUAAAAAGAUCCUGGCAAAACUGCAGAAGUUUGGAGAAAACCUGGACCUCAGGAUUCGGCCCCGUGUCUUCCUGAAGGUGCUACAGGACCUGAGGAUCUGGGAGCUGUGCUCUCCAGAUAUUGCUGUGGCUAUCGAGUUUGUACGUGAACACAUCAUCCAUAUGUCUCAAGAGGAUUAUAUCAACUGGCUGCAGAACCGGAUCAAUAGCCCUAUCUGAUCCCAAAGUCUCCGGGCAUAGUCUAGAACUGGGUCAACCAGCUGUCCCAGUGGAGGAGAACUAGACUACACUGUAUUCCUGCUUCUGGCUUAUUGUCGUGGAUACUCACUAGGAUAUAUGAGGGUCUGACUUCUGGCAACAUUCGAGAGAUGCCUUCACCUUACUCCUCCUCCUCAAAUUCUGGUUAAUAUAAUGAAGCUGAGUGUUUGAUGUCUGGCUGGGAAAGAGAACUGCUGAAUUUGGGUCUGUGAAGACAAGGAUUGAAUCUGCUUUAUUCAUCAAUAUAUUCCAAGCACAUAUCAUAGGACUCCUGACAUCAAAUGGAUAGAUGGAUGGAUAGAUGGAUGGUUGGAUGGAUGGAUGGUUGGGUGGACAGAUCGAUGGUUAGAUGGAUGGAACACCAAGUAUGCCUGUGAAAUGGAUACUGCUCUCUCUACACCACAGCAAUGUUCUCAGAAAACUUAAAAUCACAUUGUGGCACACAUUAUAAUUCUAUUGGACAAAUCUGAAUUAGAUGCCUGAUCCCAAAGGCCAGAAGACCAAUAAGGAGACUUUGAAAAUGCCCAAGAGAGAUCACAAGAGGAUGGAGGUUGAGUUCAUCACAGCAAGAAGAGGAGGGUAGACUUCUGCUUUGUUCCAAGAGAAUCACUCUUGGAGGCCUCUGAACCAAAGAAAAGGGAAGGAAAGGCUUAUUCUGUAAAGGUCUCUAUUGAGGGCAGAGACAUGACACAUCUCUCUGAAGAUACUUCAGAGGGCAGGAAGGCUUCUCCUAUCUCUAGAACAAACAGGGAGCUGGGUGUUCAACCUGGUCUUGGGGGACUGAUGGUGACAGGCACUGCUGACCAACAAUGUAGGAGUAGGAGACGAGUUGGAGUGCCCAUGAGGACAGUGAUAAGCUUUAGGAUGAGUGAAGUCCAAGUUAUUCUUUCUAUGAUAGAGAGUGGCAUUACAGCUACUCUUCCAAGAAAUAAGCAUGACUAUCCUCCUAAGAACAUUCUCCAUGAAAGACAAUUAUCAUAUGGUUUUACUCAUAUGUGAAAUAUAAGAAAUAGUGAAAGGGGCUAUAAGGGAAUGGAGGAUUAGAGAGGAAAACCAUGAGAAACUCCUAACUCUGGGAAACAAAGGGCUGCAGAAG
Canis lupus familiaris (dog) is the source of this 3432-nucleotide RNA transcript. It is a transcript of the gene named coiled-coil domain containing 60, with no coding region annotated. The transcript is spliced from 20 exons. NCBI's taxonomy places the organism in Eukaryota, Metazoa, Chordata, Mammalia, Carnivora, Canidae. The record is from RefSeq and is a predicted model, not a curated record.